GACAUAAUGCAACUAGCACAAUCUAAUAAUCACCACCACCACCACCACUAAACCCAGCUUUCUUAUACGACCGUACCGCAAACCGACACUGGUGCGCGAGAUGAGUAUUCUAAGGCGCUUGAGAGAACUCAGGAGAAGGAACUCGGCAAAUUGACACCGUAACUUCGGAAGAAGGUGUGCCCUAUUAGUGUGUAGUGAACAACGAAGCAUGAAUGGGUUGCAAAAAAUCGGUGGCUGCGACUGUUUAUUAAAAACACAGCACUCUGCAAACACGAAAGUGGACGUAUAGGGUGUGACGCCUGCCCGGUGCUGGAAGAUUAAAUGAUGGGGUGCAAGCUCUUGAUUGAAGUCCCAGUAAACGGCGGCCGUAACAAUAACGGUCCUAAGGUAGCGAAAUUCCUUGUCGGGUAAGUUCCGACCUGCACGAAUGGCGUAACGAUGGCCACACUGUCUCCUCCUGAGACUCAGCGAAGUUGAAAUGUUUGUGAUGAUGCAAUCUCCCCGCGGAAAGACGGAAAGACCCCAUGAACCUUUACUGUAGCUUUGUAUUGGACUUUGAACAGAUCUGUGUAGGAUAGGUGGGAGGCUUUGAAGCAGGGUCGCUAGAUCUUGUGGAGCCAACGUUGAAAUACCACCCUGGUGUGUUUGAGGUUCUAACCUAGGUCCAUUAUCUGGAUCGGGGACAGUGCAUGGUAGGCAGUUUGACUGGGGCGGUCUCCUCCCAAAGCGUAACGGAGGAGUUCGAAGGUACGCUAGUUACGGUCGGACAUCGUGACGAUAGUGCAAUGGCAUAAGCGUGCUUAACUGCGAGACUGACAAGUCGAGCAGAUGCGAAAGCAGGACAUAGUGAUCCGGUGGUUCUGUAUGGAAGGGCCAUCGCUCAACGGAUAAAAGGUACUCUGGGGAUAACAGGCUGAUACCGCCCAAGAGUUCAUAUCGACGGCGGUGUUUGGCACCUCGAUGUCGGCUCAUCUCAUCCUGGGGCUGUAGCCGGUCCCAAGGGUAUGGCUGUUCGCCAUUUAAAGAGGUACGUGAGCUGGGUUUAAAACGUCGUGAGACAGUUUGGUCCCUAUCUUCCGUGGGCGCUGCAGAUUUGAGGAAGCCUGCUCCUAGUACGAGAGGACCGGAGUGGACACACCUCUGGUGUAUCGGUUGUCACGCCAGUGGCAUUGCCGAGUAGCUAAGUGUGGAAGAGAUAACCGCUGAAAGCAUCUAAGCGGGAAACUCGUUUCAAGAUGAGAUCUGCCGGGGCCUUGAGCCCCCUAAAGAGUCGUUCAAGACCAGGACGUUGAUAGGUCAGGUGUGGAAGC
Molecule: ribosomal RNA, 1310 nt
Filed under: metagenome
Description: bacterial LSU rRNA
Rfam family: Bacterial large subunit ribosomal RNA
Source: RNAcentral